This 957-nucleotide ribosomal RNA is filed under the name uncultured bacterium. Its description in RNAcentral is "bacterial SSU rRNA". It matches the Rfam family "Bacterial small subunit ribosomal RNA", at positions 43 to 972 of the family's 1533-position model. The record is from RNAcentral.
UGCGCGNCUACCAUGCAGUCGAACGAAGCAUAAAUUGGACUCACUUCGGUGAGAAAGAAUUAUGACUGAGUGGCGGACGGGUGAGUAACGCGUGGGGAAUCCGCCCCGUACCGGGGGAUAACAGUUGGAAACAGCUGCUAAUACCGCAUAAGCGCACAGUGUCGCAUGACACGGUGUGAAAAACUCCGGUGGUACGGGAUGAUCCCGCGUCUGAUUAGGUAGUUGGUGAGGUAAUGGCUCACCAAGCCGACGAUCAGUAGCCGGCCUGAGAGGGUGUACGGCCACAUUGGGACUGAGACACGGCCCAAACUCCUACGGGAGGCAGCAGUGGGGAAUAUUGCACAAUGGGGGAAACCCUGAUGCAGCGACGCCGCGUGAGUGAAGAAGUAUUUCGGUAUGUAAAGCUCUAUCAGCAGGGAAGAAAAUGACGGUACCUGACUAAGAAGCCCCGGCUAACUACGUGCCAGCAGCCGCGGUAAUACGUAGGGGGCAAGCGUUAUCCGGAUUUACUGGGUGUAAAGGGAGCGCAGACGGUGUUGCAAGUCUGAUGUGAAAGCCCGGGGCUCAACCCCGUGCCUGCAUUGGAAACUGUGAGACUAGAGUGUCGGAGAGGCAGGCGGAAUUCCUAGUGUAGCGGUGAAAUGCGUAGAUAUUAGGAGGAACACCAGUGGCGAAGGCGGCCUGCUGGACGAUGACUGACGUUGAGGCUCGAAAGCGUGGGGAGCGAACAGGAUUAGAUACCCCUGGUAGUCCACGCCCGUAANCGAUGAAUACUAGGUGUCGGGGGGACAAAGUCCUUCCGUGCCNCCAGCAANCCCAUUUAAGUAUUCCNCCCUGGGGGAGUACNUUCCCCCAAGNAUUGAAACCUCAAAGGAANUUNGCCNGGGGAACCCCCCCNCAANCCGGGGGGAACCNUNUNGGNUUUUAUUUCCAAANCCCNCCCCCAAAAAAAACCUU